This is a long non-coding RNA of Homo sapiens (human), 1235 nucleotides long. Ensembl annotates it as long intergenic non-protein coding RNA 2548. The record is from Ensembl. Lineage: Eukaryota; Metazoa; Chordata; Mammalia; Primates; Hominidae.
ACAUUGGGAGUUAGGUUUCAGCAUAGGAGUUUUUAGGGCAUGGAGAGGCACAAACAUCCAGACAAGCAUUUACCUUCUGCUGAAAUUGUCUCAGUGUUUGCCUCUCCUAAUGGAAUAUGGGCCACAUGUACAGCAAGGGCUCAGCAAAUGCUUGCUGAACAAACAAGUUUGAGGCAGGUUUCUAACUCAGGUAGAUCGUUUCAUCCUCUUCAUCUCCCAGCAACCAAGAAAACCAGCCUAUUGCCAUGGGGGGGUCCUCCAACCCUGGCUAUUCUCCAAUGCUAAAGACUGACAGAUAAUCUCAAUUAGCAAAUUGACCCUUGUGGAUUUUCUGCACUCAUAGCAAAUGUCUUCAGGAAAACUGAAUUUCUCUCCAUACCUGGAUUAAUUUUCAGUAAUGGAAUGACUGGGUCAAAGGAGAUCAACAUUGCUGUGGCUCUUUCAGGUUCUCUUAAAUUCCAUGGAUUUUAACUUUGGCCCAUGACCUCCUUGACCUCUGGAAAUGUGACAUCCUGCACCUGCUGCAUCAGGGCUCUUCCCUGGUCUUGCCUACACUUGUGUCUACACAGAUGCCUCUUCCUGUCCAUAUCACUUGCUUCUGCAUAAAGUGGGUGCAGAAGAUAAUGAGACGGAUUUGACCGCGGUGAACAGGCAGGCACACAAGAUGGAGCAGGCCCUGGUGAUAAACCCCAAUUCAAGUGAGAGGAAGUAUGAGGAACCAGAUUGGAAGAUGGAGUCCAGUGCCCAGAGAUCAUGGUCCAGGCAGGAUUGAAGAUCAAAGUUUGAAGUUGACUUCUAGGCCCCAUCCUGGUACAUUCUGGAUGAAUUUUGGGGUUGGAAGAUGGAGGACCUAUACAUUUUGAGGGAAAUAAGAAGGAUAAUAGGAGUCAGUGAAGAAGUGGUCAGCACCAAAGGAGGAGAGCGUUUAAAGGAAAAGAGCUUGAUAAACCAGAGGGAUAGUCUGAGAGAGAAACUGAAGGUCAAAAUCAACGCAGUGGUGCCGAACAGAAGGGCCCGAGGUGCGAUGAGUAUAAUAUGAACACGAAGGAAAACAGCGAGUUCAGAAGCCUGGAGAAUCAGAAGCAGGUCAAGCGCUGGGGUUCAGGGCAAAGACCCUGAACACUGUGAAGGUGUUGGAGACCUGUUUUGAGGUGGCACUGCGGCUCAAUGUGAGUGCAGACCUGAGAGAUUAAAGUGCCUACGAAGGGCCAAAUACCUGUCCCUUCAUGACAUGA